UGGGGAAUAUUGCACAAUGGGGGAAACCCUGAUGCAGCGACGCCGCGUGAACGAAGAAGGUAUUCGUAUCGUAAAGUUCUGUCCUAUGGGAAGAUAAUGACAGUACCAUAGAAGAAAGCUCCGUCUAAAUACUUGCCAGCAGCCGCGGUAAUACGUAUGGAGCGAGCGUUGUCCGGAAUUAUUGGGCGUAAAGGGUACGCAGGCGGUUUGAUAAGUCGAAUGUUAAAGAUCGGGGCUCAACCCCGCAAAGCAUUGGAAACUGAUAAACUUGAGUAGUGGAGAGGAAAGUGGAAUUCCUAGUGUAGUGGUGAACUACGUAGAUAUUAGGAGGAAUACCAGUAGCGAAGGCGACUUUCUGGACACAAACUGACGCUGAGGUACGAAAGCGUGGGGAGCAAACAGG
This 403-nucleotide ribosomal RNA is filed under the name bacterium. RNAcentral describes it as "partial 16S ribosomal RNA". It matches the Rfam family "Bacterial small subunit ribosomal RNA", at positions 355 to 776 of the family's 1533-position model. The record is from RNAcentral.